AUGAACGCUGGCGGCAUGUCUAAGGCAUGCAAGUCGAUUGAUUUGUUAGUAGCUUCGGUUACUAACGGGACAAGGCAAACGGGUGCGUAACACAUUGGUAAUCUACCUCCGACACGGGCAUAAUCAGCCGAAAGGCUGAAUAAUACCCGAUGGUCUCUUCGGUACUAUGUACUGUUGAGUAAAGCUCAGGCGGUCGGAGAGGAGCCUAUGGCCUAUCAGCUAGUUGGUAGUGUAAAAGACUACCAAGGCUACGACGGGUAGCGGGUGUGAGAGCACGACCCGCCUCACUGGAACUGAGAUACGGUCCAGACACCUACGGGUGGCUGCAGUCAAGAAUCUUCCGCAAUGGCCGCAAGGCUGACGGAGCAAUGCCGCGUGCAGGAUGAACCCCUUCGGGGUGUAAACUGCUUUUCUUCGGGACGAAUCCGUGACGGUACCGAAGGAAUAAGCCACUGCUAAUCUCGU
This 465-nucleotide ribosomal RNA is filed under the name uncultured bacterium. Its description in RNAcentral is "bacterial SSU rRNA". It matches the Rfam family "Bacterial small subunit ribosomal RNA", at positions 29 to 506 of the family's 1533-position model. The record is from RNAcentral.